GACGAACGCUGGCGGCGUGCUUAACACAUGCAAGUCGAACGGAAAGGCCUUGCUGUUGUGGUGUGUUCGUGUGGCGAACGGGUGAGUAACAAGCGAGUAACCUGCCCUCGAUUCUGGGGUAAAUUCCGGAAACAGGGCUCAUAUCGGAUAGGAGCUCCUGUAACCUGGUGGGGGUUGGUAAGUUUCGGCGGUUGGGGAUGGACGCGCGGCUUAUCAGCUUGGUGGUGGGGUAGUGGCGUACCAAGGCGAUGACGGGUAGCCGGCCUGAGAGGGUGACCGGCCACAUUGGGACUGAGAAACGGCCCAUACUCCUACGGGAGGCAGCAGUGGGGAAUAUUGCACAAUGGGCGGAAGCCUGAUGCAGCGACGCCGCGUGCGGGAUGACGGCCUUCGGGUUGUAAACCGCUUUCUGCUGUGACGAAGCGUGAGUGACGGUAAUGGGAGAAGAAGCACCGGCUAACUACGUG
This 467-nucleotide ribosomal RNA is filed under the name uncultured bacterium. RNAcentral's name for it is "partial 16S ribosomal RNA". It matches the Rfam family "Bacterial small subunit ribosomal RNA", at positions 28 to 507 of the family's 1533-position model. The record is from RNAcentral.